Molecule: long non-coding RNA, 710 nt
Organism: Saccostrea cuccullata (small rock oyster)
Lineage: Eukaryota; Metazoa; Mollusca; Bivalvia; Ostreida; Ostreidae
Exons: 3
Source: RefSeq, a predicted model, not a curated record
AGAAAAUUGUCCCUCCUGUGAAUGUAAUUUGUUACGUAUAUACUAGUGGCCUAUGUAUAAAAUGCAUAAAAAAAAUUAUGAAAACCAUUGGGAUCGAUGUACGGUUCCGUAACCACGUGUAAACAUUGUGGCAUCCUGAGACGUUUUGUUACCGUUUUGUACGUCCUCAGAAAAAGAUUCAGGUGCGUGAAUUGUUAACGAGUCUUCAGAUUCAGGCUCUGAUUUUGAUGAAUAUGAUUCUGACAGCGAACAUUCAUUUGGUAGCCAGACGGAUGUAGUGAUGAUGAUACCAAAUCAACAAUGUUUGAAUUUGAAAAAGAAACAGAUUAUUCAAAUUCAUUUCCCUGGUUAGGGCUGGGCUUUACAAUGGGAUUUUCAGCUGUGGAGCUAUAAAGAAUUACUACAUAGGGUUUCCAAUGUAGCUUUGUGAUCAGAAUUCAGAAAUAAGAAGAGGAGAGACAAUGCAGAUGCAGCAUUAGCAUUACCAAUUACUUACCACUGCUAAGAAAAUGGUACAUACUUUGAGUACUACUUUUGUGUAUUUGGAGACAGUCCAGUUGUUCUUUAAACCAGAAGUGGAAAUUUCAGUGCUUGUUAAAUUUUCUCCAGAAGUUAUUGGAUGCUACAUAGGAAGAAAAUGGGGUCAUACUGAACAGAAUAGUUUGGAUACACCUUAUAGAUUUUGAAAGCUUGAGACCUCAAGAUCAACC